UCCCAUGCCAAAAGAAAGGAGACACCCUAAGGAACUCACAUGCUCAAAGGAAAACCCCACGCCCCUCUUUCAUAUUUUUCACAUAAAAAUUGGUCUCUAAAAAACAUAUCCCACACCUCCUUUCUCUCCCCUUUUUAUUUGGCAUCCAAGAAGAGAUUAGGUCAAACCUAACCAGAUAAGUAUUUGAAUUUGAAUAAGAACUUAUCUAAAUCCA
RNAcentral lists this long non-coding RNA (214 nucleotides) under Elaeis guineensis (African oil palm). RNAcentral's name for it is "long non-coding RNA (EGUI_LNC068826)". Lineage: Eukaryota; Viridiplantae; Streptophyta; Magnoliopsida; Arecales; Arecaceae. The record is from RNAcentral.